RNAcentral lists this small RNA (61 nucleotides) under Plasmodium falciparum 3D7. RNAcentral describes it as "Pfa-npcR6793". The record is from RNAcentral. Lineage: Eukaryota; Apicomplexa; Aconoidasida; Haemosporida; Plasmodiidae.
ACCGGGCCUAAGAUGUAAUGCCUUAGCCUAUAAAAUCAUAAAAACACCUGUUGCCUCAACA